UGACGGUACCUAACUAAGAAGCCCCGGCUAACCACGUGCCAGCAGCCGCGGUAAUACGCAGGGGGCAAGCGUUAUCCGGAUUUACUGGGUGUAAAGGGAGCGUAGACGGCGAGGCAAGUCUGAAGUGAAAGCCCGGGGCUCAACUCCGGGACUGCUUUGGAAACUGUUUUGCUAGAGUGCAGGAGAGGUAAGUGGAAUUCCUAGUGUAGCGGUGAAAUGCGUAGAUAUUAGGAGGAACACCAGUGGCGAAGGCGGCUUACUGGACUGUAACUGACGUUGAGGCUCGAAAGCGUGGGGAGCAAACAGGAUUAGAUACCCUG
RNAcentral lists this ribosomal RNA (320 nucleotides) under uncultured bacterium. RNAcentral describes it as "bacterial SSU rRNA". It matches the Rfam family "Bacterial small subunit ribosomal RNA", at positions 470 to 789 of the family's 1533-position model. The record is from RNAcentral.